UCUGUCAUUCUCUUCCAUAGUUAUCUAGGUUAGAUUAAAAUGCUUCUUUUGUGCUCCAAAUAUAUGCUAAUGUCUUAAUUCAUUCAACAUGCUUUCACCAACAAUUCAUGGUCUCCCCUGUGCUGGAUACCCUAUUAAAUGCUGAGCAUCCAGAGAUAAUUCGAAGACCUUUUGGUAUACUCCAAUGCUGCGACCUGCACGGCUGGGCUCAGGAUCUGAAGGAGGGGCUGACACACAAAUGAAAAUGAUAUACAAGAAAUAUGAGUUUAGAAGGCAUUGGGGAAGAUGCCAGCUGAGUGAUCUGCUUUUAGUCAGCUAGAAACAACAUUAAUCCCUACUGAGACGAGUUCCUCCUAACACCA
Long non-coding RNA from Myotis daubentonii (Daubenton's bat), 362 nucleotides. RefSeq lists it as uncharacterized. NCBI's taxonomy places the organism in Eukaryota, Metazoa, Chordata, Mammalia, Chiroptera, Vespertilionidae. The record is from RefSeq and is a predicted model, not a curated record.